UGUACACGCUGUGACUAGCAUAUCAAUAAGCGGAGGAAAAGAAACUAACAAGGAUUCCCUUAGUAACGGCGAGUGAAGCGGGAAGAGCUCAAAUUUGAAAUCUUGAAAGGUCACCUUUCACGAAUUGUAGUUUAAAGAAGUGUUUUCUGUUACGAUCGUAAUAUAAGUUCUUUGGAAUAGGACAUCACAGAGGGUGAGAGUCCCGUCUAUGAUUGCGAUUUGUAGCUUUGUGAUACACUUUCAAAGAGUCGGGUUGUUUGGGAAUGCAGCCCAAAACGGGAGGUAAAUUUCUUCUAAGGCUAAAUAUUGGCGAGAGACCGAUAGCGAACAAGUACCGUGAGGGAAAGAUGAAAAGAACUUUGAAAAGAGAGUUAAAUAGUACGUGAAAUUGUCAAAAGGGAAGCGUUUAACACCAGUGUUGUUUUCUGAAAAUCAACCUCUGUUAGCUUUAUGCAUGUUUGUUUAGACCUAAUCAGCUAUCUUUCAUGUUCUAUUGUUUGCAGUGGUGCACUUUUCAGUUUACAGGUCAACAUCAGUUUUUUUUACCGUAAAAAAGUUAAAGAAAGGUAGCUCAUGGCUCCGGUCGUGAGUGUUAUAGUCUUUUUCCUAAUGCGGUAGGAGAGACUGAGGUCUGCAGUGUAGGCUAUUUGGCUAGAUACUCAGGUGCUAUGUGAUACCAUUUCAUAAACAACUUGUUGAUUAUGUUUUGUCUAUUGCAUACUCGCUUGUACUAUCAUACCUACGCUUAGGAUGUUGAGUAGCGACAUACGCAC
This 773-nucleotide ribosomal RNA is filed under the name uncultured Neocallimastigales. RNAcentral describes it as "partial large subunit ribosomal RNA". The stretch from base 5 to 663 matches the Rfam family "Eukaryotic large subunit ribosomal RNA", at positions 24 to 664 of the family's 3401-position model. Lineage: Eukaryota; Fungi; Neocallimastigomycota; Neocallimastigomycetes; Neocallimastigales. The record is from RNAcentral.